AACAAAUGUACUCUUCCUCUACUUAGUGGUUGUAGAGAUUUCUUUCAAAAAAUAAUGAGAAAGUAAUAUUAAUUUGAACUCUUUUAUGAAUUUACAGAUGUGAUCUUGGAUGUUGUUUUAUCCCAUUCUGUGUGGAUGGUUGUAAAGAUGUCAUCCAUACUUGUCCAAGUUGUCGCCAGGUGAUUUCAAGAUGGAACAGAAUGUAAACAUUAACUGGUUGAUUGGUGAUGAUUUGACUUGGGACCAAAAUGAAGAAGGGGAUGCAAAUUAACAUUAUUUAGACUUUAUGCUUUUAAUCAUUUUAUUAAUCUAAUUUUGUUGUGAAAAGAAACAUUCCAUUUUUUGUUGAUAUGAGACAGUUUGAUUGAGAUUUAAUUUUACAUUUACAUUUGUAUUCUUUUUAAUAUUAUCAUGAUAGGUAAUUUUAUAACUGUAUGGCUUAAUUUUUUAUUUUUACACAUUAUGUUUGUUUAUACUGUUUGAAGAUCUGAUGAUUUUAGAAAGUGUGAUGCAAUAUUUUUUUGUUUAAUAAUCACAUAUAAAUAACCAGAUUUUAUUCCUUAACUCUGCAAAGAGUUUUUUCAAGUUCAAAUAAAAUGACUUUAAUUCCCUCAGCCAAAAAUCAAAACCACAGUGGAAAUAAUGGCAGAAUUAGGUAUGCAGGGACUUUUUUUUUAUGAUGGACGUCAGGUUUGCAGAUUUAAUUGUUAGAAAUCUUCUAGUUGUUUAUGGAAAUAGCUUUCAAUGUUAUUUUUGACAAGUUUGGUCUUAACACUAAUCUUGUCUGCAAAAGAAAAUCAAAAUUGUUGUUUUUAAUCAUUCAAUCAAAUUGUUAGAACUAUUCAUAUUACUCAUUAAAUGCACUGUAAAUAAUGCAAUUAUUAAUUUUGUUGUUGUUGAAAAAUGUAUAUUAUUAUAUUAUAACUUCACUUUGAUAUGAUAUGAAUGUGGGGUACAUGUCAGGGAGACAGCAACCCAAUGACACAAAAAAAACAAAACACAACUUUGAGGGGGAAAAGGGGGGGGGUUCAUGAUCCAGAAAUCCUGAGGUCCUGAAUUUAAAGAAAUUUAAAUCCUGACAACCCGAAAUUUGAAAAAAAAGAUUUCCCGGAUCCCGAAAUACAGGUCCAUCCCCUCCUCAACUUUUCAUAUAUAUAUAUAUUUGCCACCUACAAAAAAAAUGUUUAUAAAUUCAGCUUGGCAAUGGACAAUUUACAAUUAUCAGUAUAAGUACAAGGCCAAGUAAAACUUCUUCAGUUUGAAUUCACAGACAUUCUUCAGAGGCAAAAAAGACAAUAUUUAUAUUGUGUUAUACAGUUAUCCUUAUUUUGGUUAAUUAUUCAUUCUCUAUUGAGGGGGGAGGGUCGGAGGGGUCCUGAUCCUGAAAUCCCAGGCUUAAAGACAUGAAAUCCUGAGGUCCAGAAUUAAAAAAAAAAUUAAUCCUGACAUCCCGAAAUUCGAAAAAUUAAAUCCCAGAUCCCGAAAGGGUAAAUCUUGAAAUCCUGAGCUUAAAAACAACCGAUCCCGACGUCCCAAAAAAGGUCCUGUGCCCCUCUCUAUUCAAGACAAGUACAAUUGCUGUACAGAAAUUAAGAUCUGACAGCCUUUACAUUUAGCACCAUUUUUAUUUUACACCGUGACUUUAACCCAUAACACUUGGUUGUUGUAAAUAUCUUCUGAAUUCAUGUACCAUAUUCUUUUACAUCCUUCUCAUUUAAAAAGGUCAUGUUUUAUUUAUAUAUAAGAUUUUGUCAAAAUAUUUUAACCAAUAAUUUGUAAGCACCUCUUUCAGUUAAAAACUUUGAAAUCCAUUUGAUUGAUAACUGUAAAAAUGCAAAAUGUAUCCUAGUUUUUGAAGAAAUCCAGAAUUGAAUAUUAUAUAUUAUGGAUGUUGUAAGAAACCUGAGCAUUAUGAUUCAUUUGUUUAUUAUUAUAUUUAGCAUUAAAACUGUAAAUUUAAAUCUAGUAAGAUGCCUUUUGUAUGUAAUUUUGUUUAUGAAAUUCAUUAUAAAGUCUGCAUUAUAUAUACUUUUUUUUUAUUAAAUUUAUUAUAACAUAGAGUUAGUCAAAUUCCUGUCCAAUGAAAAAGCUGGUAAAUUAUUUCAUUUAUAGACUACAGGUAUGUACUUUAAAGAAUGUUCACUACUCUUGUUUUUGACAUUUUGAAGUGUAAUUUUUAAGCUCUUAUCAAUUGGAAGUUGAGUGGCCAUUGUUUCUUUUUAUGUUUGCAAUGUUUUAAAAAGAUCUGUUUUAUUCUGUUAAAAAUGUUAGUACCAAUAGAUACUUGUUUUAUUUGACAUAUAAAUAUAAGUGUUUUGUUUAAUUUUGAGAAAAAGAUCUUAAAGUAAUUAUGUAUAAACUUGAAUGUCACUUGAUGCAAAUAAUUGUUCAUUACAUAUAACAAUAAAACUAUUAACCAAAAA
This 2423-nucleotide long non-coding RNA is filed under the name Mytilus galloprovincialis (Mediterranean mussel). The record is from RNAcentral. Lineage: Eukaryota; Metazoa; Mollusca; Bivalvia; Mytilida; Mytilidae.